GCGCGAAAACUUUACAAUGCGGGAAACCGUGAUAAGGGAACUCCGAGUGCCCGUAAACGCGGGCUGUCCAUCUGCUUAAAAAACAGGUGAAGAAAGGGCCGGGCAAGACCGGUGCCAGCCGCCGCGGUAAUACCGGCGGCUCGAGUGGUGGCCACUAUUACUGGGCUUAAAGCGUCCGUAGCUUGGUUGUUAAGUCUCUUGGGAAAUCUGUCGGCUUAACCGACAGGCGUUUAAGGGAUACUGGCAAUCUAGGGACCGGGAGAGGUGAGAGGUACUCCAGGGGUAGGAGUGAAAUCCUGUAAUCCUUGGGGGACCACCUGUGGCGUAGGCGUCUCACCAGAACGGCUCCGACAGUGAGGGACGAAAGCUGGGGGAGCAAACC
This 382-nucleotide ribosomal RNA is filed under the name Methanosphaerula palustris. RNAcentral's name for it is "bacterial SSU rRNA". It matches the Rfam family "Archaeal small subunit ribosomal RNA", at positions 339 to 725 of the family's 1478-position model. The record is from RNAcentral. Lineage: Archaea; Methanobacteriati; Methanobacteriota; Methanomicrobia; Methanomicrobiales; Methanoregulaceae.